UAUCCGCCAGGGUACUACGAGCAUAGCUUAAAACCCAAAGGACUUGGCGGUGUCUCAGAUCCACCUAGAGGAGCCUGUUCUAGAACCGAUAACCCCCGUUAAACCUCACCACUUCUUGUUAAUCCCGCCUAUAUACCGCCGUCGCCAGCUUACCCUAUGAAGGUGAAAUAGUAAGCAAAAUGGACAAACCCCAAAACGUCAGGUCGAGGUGUAGCGCACGAAGUGGGAAGAAAUGGGCUACAUUUUCUAUUACAGAAAAUCACGAAUGGUUUACUGAAACACAUACCUGAAGGAGGAUUUAGUAGUAAAAGCAAAUAGAG
Molecule: ribosomal RNA, 320 nt
Filed under: Brochis splendens (emerald catfish)
Lineage: Eukaryota; Metazoa; Chordata; Actinopteri; Siluriformes; Callichthyidae
Description: partial 12S ribosomal RNA
Rfam family: Bacterial small subunit ribosomal RNA
Source: RNAcentral